This 321-nucleotide ribosomal RNA is filed under the name uncultured eukaryote. RNAcentral describes it as "partial 18S ribosomal RNA". It matches the Rfam family "Eukaryotic small subunit ribosomal RNA", at positions 1470 to 1796 of the family's 1831-position model. The record is from RNAcentral.
CCCCUAGAUGUUCUGGGCCGCACGCGCGCUACACUGAACAGUUCAACAAGUCUUAACCUUGGCCGAUAGGUCUGGGUAAUCUUUGAACGCUGUUCGUGAUUGGGAUAGACCUUUGCAAUUAUGGGUCUUCAACGAGGAAUUCCUAGUAAACGCAAGUCAUCAGCUUGCAUUGAUUACGUCCCUGCCCUUUGUACACACCGCCCGUCGCACCUACCGAUUGAAUGGUCCGGUGAAAUCUUCGGACCGGGCGAUGGUCAGCAAUGGCCGCUGCCUGGAAAGUCGCUUAAACCUUACCAUUUAGAGGAAGGUGAAGUCGUAACA